This 442-nucleotide ribosomal RNA is filed under the name uncultured Peptostreptococcaceae bacterium. RNAcentral describes it as "partial 16S ribosomal RNA". It matches the Rfam family "Bacterial small subunit ribosomal RNA", at positions 338 to 795 of the family's 1533-position model. The record is from RNAcentral. Lineage: Bacteria; Bacillati; Bacillota; Clostridia; Peptostreptococcales; Peptostreptococcaceae.
CCUACGGGGGGCUGCAGUGGGGGAUAUUGCACAAUGGGGGGAACCCUGAUGCAGCAACGCCGCGUGAACGAAGAAGGCCCUAGGGUCGUAAAGUUCUGUCGUAUGGGAAGAAAAAAAUGACAGUACCAUACAAGAAAGCCCCGGCUAACUACGUGCCAGCAGCCGCGGUAAUACGUAGGGGGCAAGCGUUAUCCGGAAUUACUGGGCGUAAAGGGUGCGUAGGCGGCUUGUUAAGUCAAGGUUAAAAGGCAGUAGCUCAACUACUGUUCGGCCUUGAAACUAUCAAGCUUGAGUAUAGGAGAGGAAAGUGGAAUUCCCAGUGUAGCGGUGAAAUGCGUAGAUAUUGGGAGGAAUACCGGUGGCGAAGGCGACUUUCUGGACUAAAACUGACGCUGAGGCACGAAAGUGUGGGUAGCAAACAGGAUUAGAUACCCUGGUAGUC